UCUGAUGGAGCAACGCCGCGUGAGUGAAGAAGGUCUUCGGAUCGUAAAACUCUGUUGUUAGAGAAGAACACGAGUGAGAGUAACUGUUCAUUCGAUGACGGUAUCUAACCAGCAAGUCACGGCUAACUACGUGCCAGCAGCCGCGGUAAUACGUAGGUGGCAAGCGUUGUCCGGAUUUAUUGGGCGUAAAGGGAACGCAGGCGGUCUUUUAAGUCUGAUGUGAAAGCCUUCGGCUUAACCGGAGUAGUGCAUUGGAAACUGGAAGACUUGAGUGCAGAAGAGGAGAGUGGAACUCCAUGUGUAGCGGUGAAAUGCGUAGAUAUAUGGAAGAACACCAGUGGCGAAAGCGGCUCUCUGGUCUGUAACUGACGCUGAGGUU
Molecule: ribosomal RNA, 379 nt
Filed under: Ligilactobacillus salivarius
Lineage: Bacteria; Bacillati; Bacillota; Bacilli; Lactobacillales; Lactobacillaceae
Description: bacterial SSU rRNA
Rfam family: Bacterial small subunit ribosomal RNA
Source: RNAcentral